UCAGCUAAGUGGCGCACGGGUGAGUAAUAUAUAGUUAAUCUGCCCUGAAGAAGAGAAUAAUUGUUGGAAACGACUUGUAAUGCUCUAUAUGCCUUUAUCACAUAAGUGAGCAAGGGAAAUAUUUAUAGCUUCGGGAUGAGACUGUACGGUAUCAGAUAGUUGGUGAGGUAAUGGCUCACCAAGUCAAUGACACCUAACUGGUUUGAGAGGAUGAUCAGUCACACUGGAACUGAGACACGGUCCAGACUCC
This 250-nucleotide ribosomal RNA is filed under the name uncultured bacterium. RNAcentral's name for it is "partial 16S ribosomal RNA". It matches the Rfam family "Bacterial small subunit ribosomal RNA", at positions 87 to 339 of the family's 1533-position model. The record is from RNAcentral.